ACCACAAGGGGUGCAUAUUUGCUGAGAGUGAACAAUUAUUUGUUCUAACCCUUUGAACCUGUUAGAUAAUUCUAGCGUAGGAAUGUGGUAU
Molecule: non-coding RNA, 91 nt
Filed under: Bacillus tuaregi
Lineage: Bacteria; Bacillati; Bacillota; Bacilli; Caryophanales; Bacillaceae
Description: TPP riboswitch (THI element)
Rfam family: TPP riboswitch aptamer (THI element)
About the family: Vitamin B(1) in its active form thiamin pyrophosphate (TPP) is an essential coenzyme that is synthesised by coupling of pyrimidine and thiazole moieties in bacteria. The previously detected thiamin-regulatory element, thi box was extended, resulting in a new, highly conserved RNA secondary structure, the THI element, which is widely distributed in eubacteria and also occurs in some archaea.
Source: RNAcentral